RNAcentral lists this long non-coding RNA (14802 nucleotides) under Setaria italica (foxtail millet). RNAcentral's name for it is "long non-coding RNA (SITA_LNC000217)". The record is from RNAcentral. Lineage: Eukaryota; Viridiplantae; Streptophyta; Magnoliopsida; Poales; Poaceae.
UGAACUUCUUGAUCAUACCAAUGUCCGUGUCUAUGAGAACGGAUAGGUAAGGCUGUCACGCGCCUGUUUUCUGACAAAUCAAGAUUUAAGUGAUGCAGAAAUUGAGAAUCAUCUAAGGCUUAAUUAUAGGGCAGCAGUGGAUAUGAUUUUUAUGUUGUUUGAUGUCAAUGGCAAUGGGCAGUAUUGGCUACCACCAGAUAUGGAUCACCUACUUGGAUUGAUGUGGAAUAAUUUUGGGGAUCGGGGAAUUUAUGCCAUACAUGCUGCUCUUGUACCUAUGGUUUUGUAUCCCCACUUGUUUAAGGAACUGCACGAUUUCAUUUCAGCUAAGAUUAGGGGUUCGGAAUACCAUGACAUCUGUGUUGCACUAGUUGCUAAUGCUCCUGAUUGAAGACGUGAAGUUCAUAAUAAUGACCUCCUUUGUGAAAUAUAUUUUUUUAGACAAGGUUUGAAUUAUGUUGUUCCAUACAACUACCCAAAUCAACUUCAUAUCAGACGUGAUCAACUAGCUGCUCUUCAGGAAGUUAGUUUGAUAAAUUAGAAUGCAUCGAGGCUAACACAGCGUGAGAUUGAUAUUAUUAAUGGCCAUAAGCUUUUGAAGUUCAUGAGAAAUCGGUUGGCUCACUGUAUGGAAGCUAUACAAGCCGGCUAUACGACUUAGAAUCAGCAGUUUCAGUAUGAUUUCUCAGCUAUCAGUAGUGAGACGGUAACUAGAGUGAAAUUUCCUCUAAUCCUGGCUCAAAUUCAGAUUAAUCUUCAUCAUAUAGGGCAUGAUUUGGAGGGACUUGGGUUGGAUAACUUGUUUGGGAGAACUGGAUAACUUGUUCUAAAUGUCCUCUCAGGUAACUUGUGAUUAUGAGCUGUGCAAUUUCUAUGUUGUGUAUGCUGUGUGCUAGUGCGGAGGACUGGAGUUAGCAAGGUGGAGUGGCUUGCUAGCUUUUUGGCCUUCUACGAGACACUCUAUUUAACCCCCUGUGGGACUAUGUAACCCGUAAUUGGUAGUAGUCUUUUUUAUUAUAGCCACUUUUUUCAAUGCAAAUAUAGUCAUAAGCACAAAAGCUUUUGGUAUGUCAUAUCUCUCGGGUGAAUGUUUGGUCUUUAUUAAUUAUACUACUUUCUGCAUGUAUAUGCUAAUAAUUAGCCUCGCUCACUAUUGAGAAGAGGGAGGGGAGCACCUCUAUUUAUAGGCGCUCAUGAUCAUUGUAGUGUUGCCAUGUGGCAACUUCCACUCUCUUCAAUACAAAAUAUCCUAACUCUAGAACCCUCAUCAUCCUUAUCUAGUUUCUAAUAUUUCUACCAUGCUAAAAUAUCUAGUUCUAGAGUAUUCUACACUUCACCAUGAAGCAUGACAAUUAUGGCUCAUGCAUUCUCUCUAAUUUUCUAGAACCUUCUUACCUUGCCACGAUCUUAUCCAUAUACAUGGUAAAGUUAGUCUCUUUGGAUCUUCACAAUCUUCUAGAAUGUUGUAAGUAUGCAUUGCAUAUUUCAACACUCACCCCAUACACGCACUGUAUUAAACUAGUUGCAUGCAGCAAAAGACUUGUUGGAUCAUAUAUUUAUUUCGUGUUUGACUCUGCAGCAGCUACGAGCUCCCAACCCGCACCCCGUGCCAUUCCAGCGACAUUGUGGCGUUAGUGGCCAGGACACCCAAAAAAGGUAUGCAACUAUUUUCAUUCCUAGCCAAUAAAUAAGAUGAAGUGUGUAGGAUCGGUAUACAAUUGCUCAUUCCAGUAGUAGUAGUUUAUUCUUUUUGUCAUGGAUCAAUGAAAGUAGCUAGAGUAGUCAGUCAAUAAAUAGGGUGGGAAAAUAAAUAUUCCUGGUGGAUGGCAUAACCAACCGCCAGCACAAAAUUUCUCUGCGCUAGCGCGUGGUUAUGCCAACCGCCAGCAUGGAAUUUCAUUGUGCUGGCGCGUGGUUAUGCUACCCGACAGCACAAAGACCCACCGUGCUGGCGGGUGGUUAUAUCACCCGCCAGCACAGAGAGCCACUGUGCAGGCAAGACCUCUUUGCUGGCGGGCAAGCACCUGCCAGCAUAUACCGCUAUUUUUUCUGGUUCAAAGUUCCUGGCGGGUGUGCCGCCCGCUAGCACAGUGACCAUUUACCCGCUAGUACAAAUGUUUUUUGGAGUAGUGGUUACUGCAUCAACUUGUUGAUAUAUGGACGAGAUAACACUCUAUGACAGGUCAGCACCUUUUCCAGUGUCAAUGGAACCAAAGUAUGGUGGAGGCUUGUUGUUUUCAGUGGUGGCCGUGGCGCACGUGGUGGUGACUGUGGAAGUUAGUUAUCAUGUGAAGCUACGAUUUGAGAUUAGUAGAGGCAAGGAAGAAGCUGGGUGUGGGGUUAGUAGGCAUGCCAGGCCAUCGUGAUGGGCAGGAUGUUCAAGGUAGCUGCGAAGGUAUCAGCCUUGUACGUGCUGUAUCUGAUACCGCUGCGAUCCACGUACCUCGCCGGUUUCAAGAGCAACUUCAGAGAAGGUAUCUGAUUUCAUGUUGAUCCUUGCAAAUUUGGAUAUAGGAAAUCUCAUGUUUGUUAGCUAAUUAGCAUGGAGUGGCUACUCUUCUUGGGAGUAACUUGUUUAUCUCAAUUCAGGGACCGAGGCUACUGCCCCCAAGAAGAGUGCUGCUGCUGCUGCCAACUAAGUCAUGAUCGAUAUCCCCAUUGAAGAACCUUGGAAGCAACAAGUUGAGAACUUUUGGUUGAAUUGUACUAUCUCAUCUCUAUCUAGCCACAAUACUGUGAAAGCACUGGUUUGCCUGUACUUUAAAAUUAAAGUCAGAUGAAGAACAUCUGAAUUCGCUGCUCCUUAGUUUGAUGUCAUUUUGGUGAUCUGUGCAUGCGUUUCUGAGCAAUUUUAGGCAUAAAAAAUUCUUUUUGGUGAGCUAUGACCCCCACGCCACGCGUGACAUUGACAAGAAGGUCCGUUACAUGGGCCGGCCAACCUGAGCCUCACAAGGAAAUUAGGCAUUAUUGUUGGGUGGGUUCGUCCGUUGGUAUAGAAGCCCAGUGGCCCAAACUGCAUGCGUAUGGCCUCGUCGCAUACAAGUGCACCCUAAAUCAGCAUUGGUCCCUGGAAUCUGGAAGCCGCCGGAUCGCCGCCACCUCCGCUCCCGCACGCCUCCGCCUCUUCUCUCCUUGCUGGCCGCCGCGUCCUUCUUCGUCGGUAAGGCACCUCAUCACCUUAUAGAGAUCAUCCCCCGAUUUGUUCACCUCCGCCGACUUCCCCAACUGGGUGAUGCUGGAGCCCUUCGUGUUCCGCAGGGACGACGACAAGUCUUUCCCGGACGAGAGCAAGGCGCCCGUCAGGGCGUCCGGCACCACCUCCUGGCAAGCCCAGUUCCGUUUCGCCUUCGACCUCGCGGAGCCCCCGCGCAUCUCCCGCCUCUAUGCGCAGCUGCCAGGCUUUCCGGGUCCCAGGAAAGGGAGGCCCUUAGCCAUGGUGUUGACGCACCGCCAUCUCGCCCUGUUUAGCGUCGGUACCUAUUGACGAGAACCUAUUCAUCUACAGCGCCAAGUCUUCCUCGCUCGAAAGGCUCCCCUGUUGUACCGAGGAUUUGGAACUUGUCCUCCACGAUGGCAGCCCAUCUCAUCGCCCUCGUGAAUCGGGGUCGCGCCUGCAGUGUGUCAGUUCCAUGGGCCUCUUGUGCCAAGGCGAGGAAGAAGAAGAGUUCGCGGUGGCGGAGCUGAAGCUCUACCCGGACAGACGCAAGUGUAAGAUCUUCGCCGACAUCUUCCUGUUCUUGAAGUCAGCCGGCAAAUGGAGCUCUUCGCGUGUACCCAUCCUCCACAGCGGCAAUCCCGAUGAUUUGUGGCAUCUCUACAUCUGGCAGGCCCACAGGGUCAUCCCUGUGGACCGCUGGCUAUGCUGGAUUGACUGUAUGCAAGCAUCCUCUUCUACGAUGUGUUUGCGGCGGCACCGGCUACUAUCUCCUUAUUCCGCUUCUCCGUGCACAAGUUCCCUGCUACUCAUCCCAAUCGUGGCAGCUGGUUUCACUGUGGUGUGUCUGCCUUUGAUGCCGCCGGUACGCUCAAGUUCGUUGAUGUCACCCGCGAUGAUGGCAUUACUGGCUACAAGGCACUCAAGCCCGGUGCUGGCUUCACCAUGACCUGCCACACCCUCCUCCUCCCAUCGUCUCUAAGCAGUAGCAGCAUGGUGUGGAACAAGGACUGGAAAGUCACCUCUGAUGAGCUCUGGAGUAAUGAUAAUUGCCUCCCGCGCCAGGUUCCCAUGUUCCCCCAAGAUAACAUCGACAUGCCACAUCUAGUACAUUUCCUUAUCAGCGACUUCACAUACGUGAUGAGGAAGAUGUGGGUGGUCACCAUUGACAUGAACACUAGGACCGUCGAGUCAUUUUAUCAGUAUCUCAAUGGUCAGGAGGACAUUGGAACUGAGCAGGAGUUCUUGACCGACCAAAAGUCCGUGUGUCCCAGUUCCUUCCUCCCCAGUGAGUUCUCCAAGUACCUUUCCUCAAGGUAAUACUAAUUGCUAGCUGCUGGCAUUUAUCUAUCUUUUACCUAGUUGCUUAUUAGUAGGUUUUUGCUGGUUAAUUGCAUGUUUAAUUUGUCCCUUGCAUUGCAUAUAUGCAAGUUGUUCACCACAUAUUAAUCAAUCGUUAGCAUUUCACUUCAAUCUUUAAUCAAGUGUUUGUUUUUGGCAAUUCUUUCCUAAGUAAAUAUAUAUAGCACAACUAAUAAUUUGGGACGCAAUGGUAGUAUUUUCCUCUAGUAUUUGUUGUCUUAACUUAAUUGUGACUAUACUGUGCAUGCAUCAUUACAAAUCAUUGUCACAAAACAUAAAUCAUGUGACGGUUUGGACCAAGUACAUAAUAAAUGAGAGUGAUCACAAUGUACAUUGGUAAUUUUGUACAAUCAUAAUGUACGCUUGUGGCCAUGCAAGGUCAAAUUCCAAACAAACUGCCAAACACACAGAGAAAAAACUACAUUAGUGUGUUAUCAAUGUAUUACUACUAGCCUGCAUGUUUUCAGAAGAACAAACCAACCACAAGAUCACAUUUUGAAUUAAUCUCAAGUCAUCAUUCAUCAUCUGUCAAGUUCUCCAAAAGCGCCAAAUUCUGCAUUUUGAGGAUCCUCAUGUUGAGCUCAACUUGGCGAUUGAUUGCUGUAUGCCUGUGUCAUGAUUAUCAUGGAAGCCAUCAACGGGAGCUAAUGAAUUACAAAUGAAUUUCCACUAUAUCUUCAAGGGCUGAGAUGUCCCAAAAUAACAGCCGGAGAAAAUGUUUCCUUACAAAUCGAUUCAGAAGCACUGGAUUGCAUGCAUAUUCGCCGUUGUAGGCUCCUAGCUAGCUGUUCUCGUACUCUUUGGCGAGCUACAAGCCUACAAGAUGAGAAUGACUGUAUGGAUGAGAACGAAGAGGUAAGAGAUAUGGAUACAGGUCUGUGUAAAUAAAAAGCCUCGACAUGCUUAAUAGGGAUAAACGAAGUUAAACCAAAGAACCCCUCAGCAGCAGCCAGCAGCUUAAAAAAAUGAUAACUAAUCUAUUAUUAUGACCUAAAAUGCUUUUAUUACUAGCAUGCUUUUUAAAGUAUUGCGAUUGGAAUUCCUGCAUUGCAAACAUCUUUUUCCAUCCAUUCCUGUGUUUUUUCCAUCCUUUGUUUCGCUAUUACACACUCAUCACAUUCAUACGGUUUUUUCCUAUUCCUCUUGUUUUAUAUUCCUUCGUUCCAAAUAGACCCUAAACACUGAAGACAUUACGAACCUGGGAGCAUUAUGAACUCUGAAUAAGUUACAGAGGGAUUUACACAAUACGGAAUUUCUGAAUGCCUGCACUGAAACGAAACAAAAUGGAAAUGUUCCUCAAAUGACAGUUCCAUGAAGUAGCUAGGAAACUCUAAGGGUCCAUUUGGCUGAGAGAAUCGUUCCAGAUUCUUGCUAGAAUUUGUCUGUUGCUUGCCAAACGGUCACCAUAGCUAUAGUUGGCUAAAUGGGCCGGGCUAAACGGGCGGCAUGAGGGCCGGCCUGUUUUGGCCUGACGCCAGCACGGCCUGGCCCGCUGUUACACGGGCCUGUGCCGGCACGGCCCGACACAGCAAGCCGAACCUAGGCCUCAGCUGCGGCACAUCGGGCGGCCCAUGGCACGGCCCGUGCAACGGGCGGCACGGCCACGGCCCGGUUUCCCUGGUAUAAGCCCUCCCUCCCAGCCCCCGCCCGCGCAUCCGCAUCGGCAACCCUAAUCCCUAAUCCCCUCCCCCUCCCUCUCCUCCAGUCCGCCGCAAUCCCACUUGGCCGCUCAGCCUCGCGCGUGUCUGCCUCCCUCUCACCCUAAGCACCGGUCACCGUCACAGCGGCACCGCCCCCGUCAUCGGCUCCCCACCCCCACCUCCUGCCCUCCGCCUGUCCGCCUUCGGCCCUCCGCCUAUCUGCCUCCUUCCCCUUCUCGAUCUAGAUCUCACCGGUCCGCCUCUGCCUCUUGCCUUGAUGCCUCCUUCCCCUCCUUGAUCUCGGCAUGCUUGGGUGCUUCGGCAACGCAGGUACUUUCUUCUUCUUCCCCUUCUCACAUCUUGACCUAAUCCCCUCCCGCAUCUUGGCUUCUAGGUCAUUGGCUGAGCACAAUGCCAUCGUGCUCGCAUGGGUGUGGCGCACGCCGUUGAGGAGCCUGAGCCGCCGAGGCAUCAAGGAGGCGAGGAGGAGGGAGGUCAUUAGAGUCUCGGAGAUGGAGACUGAUACACCGACCUCUGAUACACCUUGGUCGUUAGAAGUGGAUGUCCUCCAGGUUGGCUUAGCUGGUGGCAGUGCUGCAGAUGCUAUCGACCUUGAUGGUGCCGGCCCUGCCGGCGCGCCCGAGGAGUCGGUGCCGCCGGUGAGCUUUGACGCGAAGAGGGUCAAGAACUCCACAUCUAAGGUGUGGAACGACUUUGAGGAGCUCUUCAACACGAGGAAUGGCAAGAAGGUCAAGUAUGGCGCUAGGUGCCUUCAUUGCAGUCAUGAGUACUCUGGCAAAUCUUCUAGUGGUACUGGCCAUUUGUGCCGGCACAUUCUUGCUUGUAGGAAGAGAAAAGAAAAUGAUCGCAUGGCUCAAACUAUGCUAAAGUUCAAUCCUGAUGGUUCUAUCCAUUAUUGAGAGUACUCUGAUGCUGUUGCUCGUAGUCAACUGUGCCGCUUGAUAGCUAGGGAGGAUAUGCCUUUAGGGUUUGGAGAGUCUAAUACCUUUUAAGAGUACAUAAACUGUACUCAUAACAAUAGAUUUUCUAAAUCCUCUAGGCAAACCACCACCAGAGUAACAAUAGAUUUUCUAAAUCCUCUAGGCAAACCACCACCAGAGAUAUGGUAAAACACUUCACUGAAUGUCAUGGUAAGCUUAAGGAAAUGUUAGUUGUAUCUUUUUCAUCUGUUGCUCUUACUUCUGAUAUAUGGUCUGGAAAUUCUAAGGAGGAUUAUCUUAGUAUGGUUGCUCACUUUGUUAAUGCUGACUGGGAAUUAGAAAAAAGAUUGCUAGGUCUGAGACUCAUUGAUGAGUCACUUCUGGUUCUUCUUCUGUUUAUUCUCCUUCUCAAUUGGGAAGGAGGACAAGUAUUGGUGCACUAUUUGUAGGUACUACAUCUCUUUCAGAACUGUCAUCAUAUCUAGAUAGUGACUACGUCACCCAAUACGAUGAAGACUUCAACAUUCUCAAUUGGUGGCACGAGCAUAAGCAAACUUAUCCCAUUCUUUCUAUACUUGCUAAAGAUGUGCUAACAGUACCUGCUUCCACAAUAUCAUCAUAAUCCACUUUUAGUCUUGCUGGCAGGAUGCUUGAGGAGCGGCGACGGUGGCUGACAUCUGACAUGGUGGAGGUGCUGUCUUGCUUGAAGGACUGGGAGUGGGCUGAUGCUCAAUUGCAGCACAACGUCGAGAAGGAGACCAAAGAUCUGGAUCUGGCUUUCGAGAACAUAUUCCUUGAUGAUGAUGAUGCUGAUUCAUGAUGGAGUGAUGCCUUGAUGGACAUGUGUCUUUUCUAUUCUACUUAGUAUCGCACUAUUUGUGUAAUGAACAUUUGGACAUUAAGAACUCUCUAGAGCUAGGUUGUACUCUUUUUUCCUUUCUAGGUUUUUUCUCACGAGGUGUGAGUUUUACCUAGAAAGGUUUUUAAUAAGGCAGCCACAUCAAACGGCUCAAAUAAAAUUUGAUUUGAUCAUCUCUAUAUCUCUAUGAGUAUCAGUUAUGAUUUUGAUAAUAUGUAUGUAUAUGUUAUAUGCUGUGCAUUCCCUAUCCGUUGGAUGGUUUUUAUUUGGCGGGCCGAUUGGCGGCCCGACCUGACUGGCUAUGUAUAACCACAGCCGGCAAUUCUAGAUAGAAACGUUUCUAGCUAUUCUAAUUUUUUGUACUAGAGAAUAGAAUCACCUCCAAGCCAGUUUCAGGUGAUUCUGUUUCUUUCUUUCCUGUCUCCCCUCUAGUAUGUGAUAAGUACACUUCGUCUUUUUCAAGUGCAAUAAUUUAAAAUGGAUCGCAUGUGAAAUGUUCUUCACCCACAAAAAAAUUCAUGAAGCCUAUCUAUUUCUAUAUUUUUUAAAAAAGAAAAAUAAUUUAUCUUUAUGUCUAUUUUAGAAACCGAAUCAGCUAGGUAGCCAAACAAUUUUAGGUAGCAAAACAAUUUCAGGAAAGUAAUUCUAUUUCAACAAAGAAACGUUUCUACAGAGAAUCUGAAUCUGAAAUGUUUCUUAGAGAAUCUGGAUCCCUACCAAACCAAACCUAGGAUAAGUUAUAAAGCUAGCAUAACACAUGGGACCAUAUAAAAGGACCACAAAACAGGAGCCCAGAUUCCAAGAACAAUUACAUCAUAUAAUCUAAAUGUCUCUUAUUUGUUGGAAGGGCAAUUUUUUCUAAAACACUAUGAUUUCCAAAUCCACUUAAAAGAACUUGGUACUUCAGAACGAUCGGUUAGAAUCUUAUAAGCGUUGGACAAUGAGAAAACAGCAUUACCCUAAACUUUCAGUCUCAAAACUAAAUUCAAUUUUUAAGAACUGUUCCAUUUACAAAUUUUUGCAAUACCAGUUAGGUUCCUACUUCCCUUACGUAGUUACUCCUGUAUUACUGUCUGUAUCUCCAACAAAUUCAAUUCCCAGGUAGGCCGGAUUGAUGUAGUUUACAGAGAUGCUUCCAGGGAACUAGUAGUGCAGAUUACUGCACCAUACCAAGCAAGAGCAUGCUAAUUCGAAACCAAAACCGAAACCAAGCAAAACAGCUCACAUUGCUAGUUUCUUCCACGAUAGAUAUUUUCUUGUGAUAUAUCUAGGAAGGAACAAGGUCCUCAAGUGGAUAGUUCCACUAUCCGCUUGUGGUUUGAUGAAACAUCAGACAAUAUCUUUAUCAAUGAAAUAGGCACAAUCUCAUACCCGUUCGUUCAAAACGAAAAGAAAAGAAACAUCAGACAAUAGUUCGAAAAUCAAAGAAAGAAAUAAAGAGAAAAAAAAUCGCCAGGAUCUUGUUUUGCCGUUCUGAAUUUGUGGUCGCCGCUCCCAUGCGAUGCGUAGCGUUGGUGGAUGGAUCCAUCAGUGGCCGCCGCCCACGGCGUCCUUGACCGCGGCCGCCGCGCCCUGGGCCAUCUGCGCCACCUGAUCAGCAGCCUGCGCUCCCACACGGAUGGGAGGAUUAGAGGAUUAUUCAUCGGAAAUCACCCGGCGAGGAGGAAUUCAUCCGUACUACCUGCUGGACGGUGUCGGCGGCGCGGUGCUGCUGCUGCUGCGCGCUGUCGGCCGCAGCUCCGGUGGCGUCGGCCGCGGCGCCGCCGGCGGCGUCCUUGACGGACUGCGCCGCGCUCUCCGCCUGGCACUGCACACACACACACAUGGAUCAUUCAUGGAUGAAUUCCAGGGCACGCCAUGCCAUGCAAGCAAAGCGAUUCGUCAGCACUAGCUCACCUCGCCCUCGGCGGCGUGCGCCUUGCCGGCCUGGAUGGAUUGCUCAACGUUCGACAUCGCCGAUGAUGGUUUCUUCUUGAAGCUGUCAAAAUUACUUGAAGUUGCCAGGCGCUUGAGCCGUGGUUUAUAUAGAGCCUUGUAGGAGCUGCAAGUCUUGACAAGUGUCAGGUUAAUUUUUAGCCAUUUGCUAAUUACCGCAAGCCAAAUUUAGAGCCUCCACAAAUAUCGUAUUCAUAAUUUAUUUCUAGAUUAAAUCACAACUAAAAGUGCUUAUAUAUCCAACAGUCACCUCUGAUGAGCUCUGGAGUACUGAUGAUUGCCUCCUGUGCCACGUUCCCAUGUUCCCCCAAGUGAACAUCGACAGGCCACAUCUAGUGCAUUUCCUUAUCAGCGACUUCACAUACGUGAUGAGGAAGAUGUGGGUGGUCACCAUUGACAUGAACACCAGGACCGUCGAGUCAUUUUAUCAGUAUCUCAAUGGUCAGGAGGACAUUGGAACUGAGCAGGAUCAGUUCUUGACCGACCAAAAGUCCGUGUGUCCCAGUUCCUUCCUCCCCAGUGAGUUCUCCAAGUACCUUUCCUCAAGGUAAUACUCAUUGCUAGCUGCUGGCAUUUAUCUAUCUUUCACCUAGCUGCUUAUUAGUAGGUUUUUGCUGGUUAAUUGCAUGUUUAAUUUGUCCCUUGCAUUGCAUAAAUGCAAGUUGUUCACCACAUAUUAAUCAAUCGUUAGCAUUUCACUUCAAUCUUUAAUAAAGUGUUUGUUUUUGGCAAUUCUUUCCUAAGUAAAUAUAUAUAGCACAACUACUUUACCAAGCACCUUCAUUUGCAUGCUAGCUUUCUCUUGCUAACAGAAUCAAUGCAAGUUUGAUUUGAACAUCAUCCAUCUAGAUUGCUUUUUCACAGUAUUUAUGUAUUUCAUUGCAGGACGGUGGAAUGAGUCGCAUCAAUAUAUUUGGUUCCACAAGAUAGUAAGGCUUCUGUUGUGUUUGUCAACAUGUUGAAGGAUGAAUGGAUAAGUUAUAUCAAUAAGUUUGUGGAAGUGUGUUCCGUAGGUUCGUCAAAGAUGUUGGUGUGUCGAGCUUAAAGUACAAUCUUUAAAUUGUGUAAUUGUGUGGAUGUGUCACGUGGUACUUGAACCUGUCUGUGUUAUGCCAAGUUUGCAUGUGAAAGUUAAGCUCUACUGCUCCCUCCGUCCCAAAUUAUUAGUCGUUUUAGCUUUUUCUAGAUUCAUAGAUUUUGCUAUGCACCUAGAUAUAUAUUAUGUCUAGAUACAUGUUAAAAGGUAUGAGCCUAGAAAAACCAAAGUGACUAAUAAUCUGGGACAGAGUGAGUAGUAUGUUACCCGUGCUAACUCAAUGGCAGUAUUUUCCUCUAGUAUAUGUUGUCUUAACUUAAUUGUGACUAUAUUGGAUACCCGAGCUAUCCAAUGUGCAGCUGAACCAGAGAGUCGAGGAUAGAGUAUCGUGGAGAUGGGAUGCAUAUGGAGUCUACUCCGCUCGAUCAGCCUAUCGUGCCUUCUUCUUUGGGGCAACGAAGUUCGCUGCAGCUAACCUGAUAUGGAAAUCAUGGGCACCUUUGAAGCUGAAAUUCUUCAUCUGGCUGACAAUUAAGGAGCGCUUGUGGACGGCGGACAGAAGGCACCUGCAUGCCUUGCAAGGAAACGCUAAUUAUAUUGCACUUUUUGCGACCAGGAGUUAGAAACAGCAGCGCAUUUGCAUAUCACCUGUCCGUUUGCAAACGAGGUUUGGCACAUUGUUUUGUCUGAACUGCACAUACAGAACAUUGCCGUGCUACCUGAAACUUCUUUAACGGAAUGCUGACUGCGCAAACGGCAAGCCACGAGUAGAUCAUUGAGAAAAGGGAUGGACUCUAUGUUCAUGUUGAUCUCCUGGACGAUUUAGAGACAUCGGAACGACAGGGUCUUUGAUAGAGCUCCCAACAAAACUCCUUUGCAACUAAGUGAUCCAGGACGAAGAAGGAGCCAAACAUUUAGCGCUGUUCCAAUGGCCGCGCCAGCAGCAGGACUCUGCAAGGGUAGCCUAGUGGGUUGGUUUGUAGCCCCUGUGUACACGGAAGCUUAUGAUGUCUUGUAGUUUAAAACUAGCUACCUAACAAAAUCGUGUGCGUGAGCCGGUAGACCCGUGUUGUAAAAUUAUUUUAUCUCUUCUUAAUACGAAGGUACGCAUGCGUAUUCUCAAAAAAAAGAGCAGUUACAACGUGACGAACUGAAUUUCUACUUCCUCACUCAAGCUGGUAAAAAUCUGGCUAAACUUUACCAAAUGAAUUUCUUUUUCCUCCACUCAAACUGACAAAAAUCUGGCUAAACUUUACCAAAGCAGUGUAUUCCAAACUGUUUGCCCACCUUUCAAUGUUGGAGUACAAGUGAUUGCCCGCAUUUUACUACUAGCUUAAGAUUUUGGGUUGAACUGGUUUGUGCAUUCAACUCAAUAUGGUAUCAGGCCUAGAGGUCUCGGGUUCGAAUCCUAGCGGGCGCACUUAAAUAAAAUAAUUGCAGCCCACUCACAUAUGUUGCUUAAGAGAGCCUGCGCGUGAGGGUGUGUGUUGGAGCAUAAGUGAAUUGCCCACUUUUCCUCAUCACCUUUUGGGUUGAACUGGGUGGUGCAUGCAAAUCAAUACAAAUGAGAAGCGCCCAGCCAUAUGUAACACCAAUGGAUCAAGUUCAAAUCCAGUUUGAAAUUUCAAAUCUGAACUCAAGGUGCGAAAGUUGCCAAAUAUGACCAAGUACCUAUGUUUGGAUCCAGAUUUGAAAAGAUUUCAUAUGGAAACUUGGGAGAAUGUUCUUGUGAAAGUUGGAGUGAAAAAUGAUAUUUUCCAUGCCCAAAGUUGCUCUUGAAAUGGCAAGGCAGGUGUUGCAGGUACUUCAUCCUUCCUGUUCCAAUGGUCUUGCGCCUGAUGGCCUUCACACUCCAGUUAUCUGAAUUGAUGCAACCACCAUGUUAACAUCCAGGAUUGGAGACAUGAUAACCAAACUAUAUAGGAAGUGCAAUCAGACAGCUUAAUCCAACAACCAAGUAAACAAAUAGCAAGGUUAGCUUUAAUGCUUGACAACUGGAUUGCAAACCUAAACCAAUUAGAUGAACACUUGAAGGAAAAAACAUGUAAAGGCAAAAGUUACAACAGAAACAGAUAUUAGUUUUUUUCCCAGAAGAUAGAUUGCAAAUAGAAUACAAAACAAAAUGCUGAGGUAUCAUCAGAGACUUAAAUACUUGGGAAUCAUUAAAGAAUUUUAACUUCAUCAUAUUGUUGCAGUUUAAUUUCAAAGAAAUAAAGCAAAACAGAUACAGUUGCAGCACAAUGAGGGCCAAAUACUAAAUGCUGAAAAAAAUUCAAAUAGAGUAACAGUGACACAAUCAGAAUAAAGUAGUAUGGUGCUGCACAGGGCAUGAAAUAUAUUCUCAUUGCAUGGCACCUCUGAAGUCUGGAAGUCACAAGGGAAAAAAUUGACCAAAAACAAACUUCCAAAAAUAAUAAAAGAGGGAUCAUCAGAGACUUAAAUACUUAAGAAUCAUAGGAGUAUUAUUACUCCCAUCAUAUUGUUGCAGUUAUGUUACUCAUCACUUGACCCCCGACAGUGGAAGCAGGCCAAAAAGGUAUUUAAACGGAUUGCAAACUCAUGUAACAUAUACAAAUUAAGCAGACCUAUACGACUCAUGUACUAAUUGCAGGGAACAUUUCCAAAAGAGUUAGAUUGAGGAAGUAGCCAGAAACAUUUGGGUUGAAAUUAUGAAACCAGUGAAUAAUCACUGUAAAGUAGCACACCGCUGCUCAGAACAUGAAAUAUCUUCUCAUCAAUGCAAUUGCAUCUCUGAAGUCUGACAUGCGAUUACAUUUUCAUGAUUCAUCAUAGCGAUUUGACUGGUAGGAAAAACAAAAUCAAGGAGCAGACAGAUACACAAAAGUAAAUACAGUGAGGUAUCUAACUGAGAGCAACGUCCAAACAAGGCACAAAAAGAAUACACUUUUCGCAGACUGGGAUCAUUUUGAAACAACACAUCGUUGUCGAUCACGGAUAAUCAGAAACACGGACCGGUGGUUUUCUUCAUCCUUUCCCGCAACGAACAAAUUCAUCAUAUAUGCUAAACAGAAAGCACAUAACCAGGCAGGAAAUCCAGUAACGGACAUGCAUAUAACCACGCAUCCCUAAUAAGAAGCAAAAACUAACAGCAGGCCAUCAAACUUUCAGUUCAUAGAAACAUCCUCCACGCUCCACAUGACACGGUAAGUAGGUCAUCUAACAAGAUGUGUUGACGUCUACCACAGCAAUCCACAAGCUAAUGUAACACGGAACAGCAUAUACAAUUAGGGCAUGUCAACGCAACUUGAACGGAGAACACCAAACCCAUACAGAUCUAGCAAGCCAACAAGUUCAGUUCAGAGGAAUUUCAAUAGGACAUCCUAAUUUUACAUGCUUAAUUUUCAACCAGGGGCUGGAAGUGAUGAACCUUUCGUAAAAAUAAAGAACAUGUUCCUCUUGCUGAUGCACCAGCAGUUGCUCCUCUUAUUGAUACACCAGUAGAAACUGUGACUCUACCUUCCAAACCUAAGAAACUGAAGCACCAGCCAAGGUACAUCCAAAAGACCACUCAGUUUAAUUAAAGAACUCAUCCGACGAAAUGUCACUUUUAAGGAAGAUUGAACUAGAAGGCAAUUGUGUUGAACUUCUUGAUCAUACCAAUGUCCGUGUCUAUGAGAAUGGAUAGGUAAGGCUGUCACGCACCCGUAUUCUGACAAAUCAAGAUUUAAGUGAUGCAGAAAUUGAGAAUCAUCUAAGGCUUAAUUAUAGGGCAGCGGUGGAUAUGAUUUUUAUGUUGUUUGAUGUCAAUGGCAAUGGGCAGUAUUGGCUACCACCAGAUAUGGAUCACCUACUUGGAUUGAUGUGGAAUAAUUUUGGGGAUCGGGGAAUUUAUGCCAUACAUGCUGCUCUUGUAC